This 73-nucleotide transfer RNA is filed under the name Phycisphaerae bacterium. RNAcentral describes it as "tRNA-Arg". It matches the Rfam family "tRNA". From Rfam's summary of the family: Transfer RNA (tRNA) molecules are approximately 80 nucleotides in length. Their secondary structure includes four short double-helical elements and three loops (D, anti-codon, and T loops). Further hydrogen bonds mediate the characteristic L-shaped molecular structure. tRNAs have two regions of fundamental functional importance: the anti-codon, which is responsible for specific mRNA codon recognition, and the 3' end, to which the tRNAs corresponding amino acid is attached (by aminoacyl-tRNA synthetases). tRNAs cope with the degeneracy of the genetic code in two manners: having more than one tRNA (with a specific anti-codon) for a particular amino acid; and 'wobble' base-pairing, i.e. permitting non-standard base-pairing at the 3rd anti-codon position. RNAcentral also lists the same sequence under 1 other name. Lineage: Bacteria; Pseudomonadati; Planctomycetota; Phycisphaerae. The record is from RNAcentral.
GCGCCCGUAGCUCAAUGGAUAGAGCAUCGGUCUUCGGAACCGAGGGUUGGAGGUUCGAAUCCUCUCGGGCGUG